This is a long non-coding RNA of Homo sapiens (human), 642 nucleotides long. The record is from Ensembl. NCBI's taxonomy places the organism in Eukaryota, Metazoa, Chordata, Mammalia, Primates, Hominidae.
AUUUAUUUAUUAUAGAGACAGGAUCUCCGUAUGUUGUCCAGGCUGGUCUUUAACUCCUGACCUCAAGUGAUCCUCCCCAAUCAGCCUCCCAAAGUGCUGGGAUAACAGGUUCAUCCCUCUCUGUGCCUUGGUUUUCAUAUUUGGAAAAUGACGAGGAGGAUUUAACUAGAUUAUCUCUAAGGUUGAAUGGGGAAAGAACAUUCCUGGAAUCACCAGGCAAGAAGAGGAUUGGAGGAAUGCCUUUGUCCCCCUUCAAUCCCGGGGGUCCCCUGGCACCUGGACUUCCCUGGGGACCCAUGGCUCCAGCAGACCCUGGGGUAAAAGAAGAACUGGAGAUGGGGUCUCACUCUGUUGCCCACGCUGGUCUCAAACUCCUGGUCUCAAGCAAUUCUCCUGCCUCAGCCUACCGAAGUUCUGAGAUUACAAGUGUAAGCCAUCAUACCCAGCACCAAUCUGUAUCUUUUAAGUGGAACAUUUACUCCAUUUAUUAUCAAGGUUAAUAUUGAUAUGUGAUGUUUUGUUCCUGUCAUGAUAAUUGUUACCCAGUUGCUUUUUAGUCUCAAUUAUGUAAUUGCUUUAUAUAAUCUGUGAGUUUUUCACUUUAAUGUGCUUUUAUGAUGAGGAGUAUUGUCCAUUCAUUUC